AGUGAACGCUGGCGGUAGGCCUAACACAUGCAAGUCGAACGGCAGCACAGUAAGAGCUUGCUCUUACGGGUGGCGAGUGGCGGACGGGUGAGGAAUACAUCGGAAUCUACUUUUUCGUGGGGGAUAACGUAGGGAAACUUACGCUAAUACCGCAUACGACCUACGGGUGAAAGCAGGGGAUCUUCGGACCUUGCGCGAUUGAAUGAGCCGAUGUCGGAUUAGCUAGUUGGCGGGGUAAAGGCCCACCAAGGCGACGAUCCGUAGCUGGUCUGAGAGGAUGAUCAGCCACACUGGAACUGAGACGCGGUCCAGACUCCUACGGGAGGCAGCAGCGGGGAAUAUUGGACAAUGGGCGCAAGCCUGAUCCAGCCAUACCGCGUGGGUGAAGAAGGCCUUCGGGUUGUAAAGCCCUUUUGUUGGGAAAGAAAAGCAGCAGGUUAAUACCCCGCUGUUCUGACGGUACCCAAAGAAUAAGCACCGGCUAACUUCGUG
This 492-nucleotide ribosomal RNA is filed under the name uncultured bacterium. RNAcentral's name for it is "partial 16S ribosomal RNA". It matches the Rfam family "Bacterial small subunit ribosomal RNA", at positions 29 to 507 of the family's 1533-position model. The record is from RNAcentral.